GCGCUUAUUUCUUGGAUAGCAUCGGCAUGAGCAACUUUUUAGUUUGUAAACUAUGAGUUUCUUCAAAUUUCGACCACAUUUGGUUAAGUGUAUGCAUAAACGCUAAGUGUUGUGUUGUACUUUUGUUAUGGCUGUAAAAGAGACAGAGCUGAGACCUCCUGGGACUGCUAAUUCCAGACAUUAGGAUGCUAACAUGGAGGAUUGUGUGUGUUUAUCGCCACACAUAGACAACUUCUAUGUGACAAGGAGGUUGGAAAUGAGGGCUGUAUGAUGAAGCGACUACAACGUCGUAAGUUAACUACGUUUCCUGAAGGUUUCUCUCUUGGCCACGCUGGAGGUUUAGGAAGAGCAUUGCCCCUGUGAUGUGCUCCACCGAUUGCUGAAGGAAGAAAAAGGGCUAACCAGUGACAUUGCACCCUCCACUUUCUCUCCACCACUCAUAAGAUCUGAGGAUUGCACAUUGUGGGCUACUAAAGGAGGACAUCUUCGAGACCAAGACACACUGGCCAGCAGUAACCAAGGGGCUCACCCAGUCAAGAGAAGGCACCGAGGAAGGAGGAAGAAUCGUCAGUACUCCGGCCCACACAGGCAGGGACGAACCCAGACACUGAGAGGGGUCGUUGGUCUGGAGCAAUAAAAAGUCUGCUCAACAUUCAAGUCCAACGCAAACACUUCUGAGUGUUUCAAGAGCAAGAGGAGAGUCUUGACCAGGAGCUUCACCUUUACAAUACAGGGUUAUUUUUCUGUGAAGCAGAAAAAGUGUGUCAGUAUGCAGAACAUCAUUACAUUGUCUUCUUUCUCAACAUUUGCUAAUUAGUUAUAGAUGAAAGACUUCACUUUGUCUUAAUACCCAGCAACUCCCCACCUAAAACCUCACACAAAUACUUUCUGUCAGCAAUGAUGCAUUUAGGCACAUAGACAUGGUCAAGAUGAUCUGCUCAAGUUCAAACAAAGCAUCAGAACAGGGGAGAAAGGUGACUGAAGUGAUGCCAAACGUGCCAUGGUUGUUGGGUUGGGUAUUUAACAAACUGCUGAUCUACUGGGAUUUCCGCUCAACCAUCUCUAGAGUUGUAGUUGGAUGUCAGAAAACAAUGACAAGACUGAUCUGAGCUCAUAGAAAGACAACAGUAACUCAAAUAACCACUAAUAACCAAGGUAUAUGCAGAAAAACAUCUCUGAAUGCACAACGUGUGAAGUAGAUAGAGGAGCAGAAGACCACACAGGGUCCAGUGUUAAUUUUGGCAGCUAUUUUUAAUUUUACUCUUAGUCUUAGUCUUUAGAUGAAAUGUAUUUAGU
Cheilinus undulatus (humphead wrasse) is the source of this 1296-nucleotide long non-coding RNA. RefSeq lists it as uncharacterized. NCBI's taxonomy places the organism in Eukaryota, Metazoa, Chordata, Actinopteri, Labriformes, Labridae. The record is from RefSeq and is a predicted model, not a curated record. The transcript has 4 exons.